Gallus gallus (chicken) is the source of this 6522-nucleotide long non-coding RNA. The record is from Ensembl. Lineage: Eukaryota; Metazoa; Chordata; Aves; Galliformes; Phasianidae.
CAUUCUGCCUUUUCUAUUUUACCCAGAGAUCAAAUGUGGUAUCUUGCAACACUGUCACAGAGCCACAUGGAUAGGUGUUCCUCCCGACAGCUGCUCCUGUUGGAGGUAGCAGCUCCCAUGUAGCUGCUUCUGCACGUGGAAACUGCAGUGACAGACAACAAAACCAGGAUGACUUUUAGGCCCAGUAUUUUUAUUGCUGGGCUGGCAGCUGUAACUGCUCCCAGAGUCUGGCUUGCAGGAGAUGUCCUGGAAGCUCUUUGUGCAAUGCACGGAAUAACACAAGCGAGCAAGGCAAAACCAAAAGCAGGAUGCAGCAGUACUGAUGCCACUGAAAGCUUACACAGAGGUGAGAGUCAUUACGGCUUGUGGUCAAAGUUGUUUAUUUUUUUCUUGUCACAGGAUGUCAGACAAUACGAGGCCUUUUAGCAGCAUUUCAGACUUUUUGCUUUCCUUUCGAGUCAACAGAAACUCAGCUGCCUGAAGGUGGGUGAGGCCAAACAGCAGCACAAACCUUCCUCUGGAGGAAGGGACCCGAUCCCACUAACCUGCUCCACUGAGGUGCUGUGCAGCUUCAAUGCCAAGACACUGAUUUGAUAACUGUGGUUUCUUCUUACUGACCUGGCUGGGAAAAGCUGCCUUGUUGCUCAACAGCACUUUGUCUUCAUGAUUUAUAUGUUGCUUGACACAGCUAAGCAUGAUGCUGCAGUGUGAGAACUGCUUGCUGGCCGGCCGGCUGCAUGAGCUUCUCCACAGAAAGGUCUGUGCUGCGAACUGCUUUACUACCAACUGGGGCUUCUGCAAGAAAAGAAUGCAUCAGAAACACAAGAAUGUGUACGUUUGUUGUCAUGUUCCAUUCAAAAUAUGUAAAAGGAAAAAAAACUGUAAUUAACGUUGCAUUUAAGCCUGCUUGACUGUACUAAGCAUGACCUACAAGCCCAAGGAAUGCUACUGAGAUUUCCCUGAAAAAUGUUGAAACCGUUUAUUUGCCUGCUGAAUGGACUGAUUUUGAGAUAUGAGCAUGCUUUCCAUCGAAGAACAUCCUGAAAUUAAUUUCAGUUAAUGCCAUUUAUAUUACUCACUCUUCCCUGUUGAACUGGGCGUCCUGGAUUUCAACAUAUGCUGCUGUGCUGUGUAUUCCAGCUGUGACUGCAGCAGUGCUAAAUGUGUCUGCUUGAUGGAGAGCAUUAGCAGAACUCGGAUGUAGUCCAUCUAUUAGAUGGUUCUCCAGGAGGUGACAUUUCUGCACAGCUCAUCAGUGACAUCCCCUAUUCCCUCUCUUGGCCACAUUUGCAAGCUUCCAAACGUGUUUGUGAAUGUGACCAAAUUCUGGCCCUCGAGAUCAAAGGUCUGUCCACAUCUCUCUCUGGCACUACAGAUCUGGGAUGCUGCAAGCCAGUAUUCAAGAAUCCUGUCAAACUUGAGCAUAUCUGUGAUUUAUAAUGUAGAAAACCAUGUAGACUCUCAUCAUACACUUAGUACUCAACAGUCUACAGAAGCAGAACCUACCAAGAAAGCAAAUGUCAAAAAAGCAGCGUGAGCAAAGUUAAGAAUCUUCCACGUAAGGGGAUAUGUUUCUGGCUUGGAGCCAACCGGGGAGAAGAAGAAAUUCCUAAAUAUAGGAGCCCGGAAGGUGUGAAAGAACUGUUGGAUGCUGAAGUAUGUCAGGGACAAGAUUGGUGAUGAGUAAGAGCUUCCGCUGCUGGAAGCGGAGCGUGCUGGCAGGUAGCAGACUCCGUGAUCUUCUGAACAAGGAACAAAUCCUUGCUGAUCCUCCCCUAGUUGUGACAGUAAGUAUAAAUAUAUGAAAUCACCGAAAGAGGGAGUGAUGCUUGAGCACUCGUUUAAGAGUUCUGGCAACCUGACAGCAGUAAGCUCCACUUCCAAGUGAUGUAGAAGCAAUUUUCACUCUUGUGAAAACUCCCAUUUCUGAAAGUAGAUUGCCAAAAUAACUGAUGUUGAUCAUAUGGGACUGUGUGUCAUGCAUCGCAUAUAUCCGCUUAUUUGCUCUUUUUUGAUUUUGGUUUUGUUUAUCCAAAAAUAAUGGUAUCCUAUUGACAAAGGAUUCUUAUUUUUUUGUCAUAAGCACACAGCAAUACAGUGUUUUUUUCACACAGUACAGAGCCAUCCAUGUGUUUCUGUGUCAAGAAAUGCAGCGAUAACUUCUGCUCUGUCUGCUUACAGGAAUAGCUACUGCUUGAUGCCAGUCUGUAUUAUCUGCACUUCCCUCUGUCACUGAGAUGGGCUGGCUCAGCAGAACAAGUAUGAGCACAUAAGAGUGACAUUUUGUGUUUCUGAGGUAGUAAUAUCUUAAUUACUCUUAAAUCGUGAGCUUUUUGAGCAUUUUAUAUAUUGCAUAUACAUAUACAUUACCUAUUAUAUAUAAUAGAAGGGAAAGAUGAUUACAAGCACAAGAGAAGACACAUCACCUAAGAGUGCUGUAAGAAAAGAUCAGUGUGGAGGUAGAAACUCCUGUGAAGCUUACAGCAGGAAAGACCUGCCAUGGCCAAAUGCACAAGUUUGUUUCCCCUUAACAACUGUCAAUGGUUUUAAGAUUUUGAGAUGUAAUCAGUUACAGAGAUAACAAUCUCAAGGUAAAACAGAUACAGCUGCUGCCGUGGAACUAUCCUUUCAUUUCUUCCCCGUAUUCAGAGCAUUUUCAACAUUAAUUUUCACAUACACUUUAUGUCACAUAAUUUCUCUCUCAACAUUUAUUUAUUUGUACGUGAUUUUUAUGCUUACAGCUUACAAGCUAUCUGCCACAAAAGCUUUAAGAAUGCAGAAUGGAUUUCUCUACGGUCAUGAUCCGAAGGGAAUUUUAUCAGGGAGUUUCUGGGUUUGUUAUGGAGCAAAAGAAUGUAUUUGUUCUUCUGUUGUACUGCACUUCUGCACUGAGAAUGAAGAGACUCAGUCCUGCUAAUAGACUGAGAAAAGAGAUUAAGCAUACAAGCUAAGGAUUCUGCAUAUUGAAAUACAGUAAAUCUGAAAAAUACUGGAAGACAUUGGUGGUUUGCUGGAGGUCACCUGGACAGGUACCUGGCAAGGCUAUCUCCCUGUGCCUCAGCUGCUUCACCUGCAAAGUGGGGAUAAUGACAUUCAGUCGCUUUUUAAAACCAUUUUAAGAUGCUCCACUUCCGUGUUCUGUAUCAAAGGGAAAUACUUCACUUUCAUAUACACUUUUGCGUAACUGAUGACAAAGUCCUUACAUUCUCUGCUUUAAGGUAGCUUAACCUUAAUUCAGUGUACUAAGGCUGGAAUGGGUAUAAACAACAAACACAGUAAGAGCAAAGACUGUUUUAGAAAUGGGAAUAUCAUCAUUCUUUUCCUCGUUUCUUUCAAUCAUAAUAAGAAUCUGCCUAAAACAGGCAGACCGCUUAAAUCCUAUCAAAUCUUCACAGAUUUUAUCUCUAGAUGAGAUUGGCUGACAAUUAAAAAGUACGCACUCAAAUGAUUUGAGGAAAAUCUUUCUAAAGCCAUGGACAGUUUCACUCCUCAGAUGCUUUAAAAAAAAAACAAAAGCAAAACUUAAUUUAAAAACAAAGAACGAGAGAAUACGGAUAUUAGUUUUGGCCUCAGAAAAUCCUUUAAUCCAUCAGACUUCUGCAUAACACUGUAAGUAUGCAAGUAAUCAGAUGAUUGUUUUCAUCCCUGGCCAAAUACUGCAAUCACAGCGAUGUGCAUGUAAGAACUGCUAUAUUUUUAGAGUAAUUACUUAUAGAGAGGUAGCAGUACCUUUAAUGUAACGUGUCAUUUUCAUUCUUAGAUGAAAACGGGGAGGAUGGGACAGUCAGGUUUCAAACGAAAAUAAAGUUUAGUAGAUAAUAUUCAAUUUUUAAGCACAACAGUAAUUUUUUCAGAGACCUCUGAAAGCAUUUGAUGAGGUUUUGUUGAAUGUUGUUUCACCUCAGACUGCUGUUUCUCCUUCACCGGCUUCAGGAGCUGGAAUGAAAAAGAACAUCAUUAUUGCGUUUGCUCUCAAUGCCAUAUUAAAUCUCAAUCCUCUCGUCCCCCAGUCUGCAUGUACAGCCAGGAUGGCCCCAGCCCAGGUACAGAAUGCAGCGCUUGCUCUUGUUAAACUUCAUGUGGUUGAUUAUUGCCAGCCCUUCAAUUUGUUGAGAUCUCUGUGCAAGGCAGAUAUCCAAUACCCUACAGUGGUACAGCCAAUUGAGUAUCACAAAGAAAAUCAUAUGAAAGAGACAGUAAUCAAGACCGAAAUAAAUGCAUAUGCAUCUCUGCUCUGUAUUUCAAAUAUGUUUUGAAAACACGCUACAUUAAGAAACCCAAACACAUUUCAAUUCAAGUAAUGUUGCUUUUACAACCAUCGAGAGAAAAUGAGAUGUGGUAGAACUCUGCCACUUCCCAAGCAGCACAAUCACACAGCCUUAGUCUUUUUCUGGCUUCAGUAGUGCUUUCCAUUUCUAUUGAUCUCUGUGAAAUGUGGUCUCUACAAACGGAAAAGGCGCAUUUCCCAGACCAGUGGUGCUGCAGAGUAGCUGGGAUCUAUUAAAUGAAUGGGAAUAUUAAAAUGGAAUGGAAGAAAAGGACCAUCCUUACAAGUGCACAAUAGAUGGUUUAACCAUCAUAAUUAAGUAAAAUGUGAAGUCCAGUCAUAACACACUACAGACGUGAGAAAUGAGAGCUAUCAAGGAGAGUUUCUGUUCUCUGAAAACAACUCCUUGAUAUGUGAAGGAAAGGAUGGAAGGAGGAGCACAGAUGGCACAUUCUUAGCAAAACCCUUUCUCAAGAACAUCCCUACUGAUGUAGCUAGUAACAGUUAAACUGGUUUAUACCCGAAGAAUACAGAGCUGUUCAAUCAUUUGGAUCAGCUUAGUACACUCGACCUUAUGAAUCCUACUUACACCACAAUUGCCUAAAAUUGAAGAAAACAUCUCCUCAGAGGCAAAAAGUGGAAAGAUCUAAGUUUUCUUAGUGCCAUGCAAUGGGUAUGGCAGUCACAAAGGAACUGACACGUGGCAUGGUACAAAAUGAUACACGAUCUUUAAAGAGUAUUUUAUAAAGGCUGUUCUUGGGAGGGAAGAUGCCACUUCUAAGUUGAACAUGAGAAGCCAUUACUGACGAAUGUGGCAUUUGCACCAUGAUAGUUCAGAACAAUGGGAAAUCUGUCACUUGGAAUGUUUGCACAAUUCUAUGCACUAAUACUGCUUUGAAAGGUUUGGCAACAGUGACAGGCAAAAAAAGAAGGAAAGUUAAUGUAAACCUAUCAACAGAAGGAUUUGUUACUUCAAAUUAACAACUGGAUGAAGCUCUGACCGUAACAUUAUAUUGGGAACAAUUUCUCUUUUUGAAGUGCAAUGAAGUACGAAUUAUCAGUAUCUUUCUACCUAUCCCAGCAGCUCACCUGCUGCAGAAAGAGUUGGUUGUUGGCAAUCCUCAUCAAGCAUAACUAACAAAGUCAAUUGACACAACAAGUUCUACGGCUGGCAUUAUUUGGAGAAUGUUUUGUUGGCCCCUAGUGCCUGAGGAUGUAUGAAGGCAUACUCUUUUUGAGCACAUGUAGACUCACAGUCCCUUCAUGCUGGUGUUCACCUACAGACCUAUGACAUUGGCACCUAACCCCAACAGGGAUACGCCGUUCAGCUGACAAAGAAGCUACUCAUGGACUCUAAGCCUCAGCUUUACCUGUUAGACAUCAUUAGAUAUAUAACCACGUGAUACCGACUUUUCCCCUCCUGUUUAAUGCAUAGGAAAGCACAGCACAUAUGCACUGGAUUUCAUGAACAAAGGCUGUUUGUGCAUUCUAUACCCUGACAUGCAGCAAGGCUGUCAUCCCAUCACCAAGACACUCCUGUGUCCCCCACACUUGGACUAUUGGUAGAGAGUGGCGAGGUGGCUGCAGGACACCAGGAUCGCUCACGUGGCUUGUAGGUUGUCACCUGUCCAUAUCUGAGAAGCAAGGAGCAAGCCACGAACUUCCAUCUUCAUCAUCUCUUAGGGGCAGAACAUGCAUCUGUGUACUGGAGGAAUAAAUAUGGAAAAAGCUUUGUAAGUGAUAUUUAUCACGGUCCUGGACUUGUAUUAUUAUUGUUUUUUAAUCUAAAAGCACUGCCCUUUUGCUAAUGUGCCAAAUGAGCUGCUGACCAGCAAGCCGUGCGUUGCCUUAAGCAAACCAACACAUAACACGUGCAGAACUUUACAGCUGCGUCUGGUUGGUAAACUGUGAUGAUAAAAGAAGCAGGUUGGAGAUUAGGAAAAAGAUAUUUUCAGAAGGAAUGGUGAUGCCCUGCAAUGGGCUGCCCAGGGAGGCGGUGGGAUCACCGGCCCUGGACGCGUUCAGGACAUGUGGAUGUGGCACUGAGGGACACGGUCAGUGGGGACGGGUUGGUGGCUGGACUAGAGGAUCUCGGUGUCUUCUCCAACCCUAAUGAUCCUGUGAUUCCGUACAGCACGAUGUGGAUGUCUGCAGUGCCAGGAGCUGCGAUUUCUCUGGUAACAUAUUCCACCCGCCCCUGCACUUUCCAUACACAAACAGAUACCCUCCAAACUAGGAGCACAGCUUGAGCCCCA